UACGUAGGGUGCGAGCGUUGUCCGGAAUUACUGGGCGUAAAGAGCUCGUAGGUGGUUUGUCGCGUUGUCCGUGAAAACUCACAACUCAAUUGUGGGCGUGCGGGCGAUACGGGCAGACUGGAGUACUGCAGGGGAGACUGGAAUUCCUGGUGUAGCGGUGGAAUGCGCAGAUAUCAGGAGGAACACCGGUGGCGAAGGCGGGUCUCUGGGCAGUAACUGACGCUGAGACGCGAAAGCAUGGGGAGCGAACAGG
This 253-nucleotide ribosomal RNA is filed under the name uncultured bacterium. RNAcentral's name for it is "partial 16S ribosomal RNA". It matches the Rfam family "Bacterial small subunit ribosomal RNA", at positions 524 to 776 of the family's 1533-position model. The record is from RNAcentral.